This is a long non-coding RNA of Xenopus tropicalis (tropical clawed frog), 2525 nucleotides long. RefSeq lists it as uncharacterized. The transcript has 6 exons. The record is from RefSeq and is a predicted model, not a curated record. Lineage: Eukaryota; Metazoa; Chordata; Amphibia; Anura; Pipidae.
GCUGUCUCUUCCACUCCUCCUCUUUAUGAGGCAGCCUGCUCUCUCGCUCACAAGGGGGAGAUGGGAGUUGGGAAAAAGACUGCUUUUCGCUAGUUACAUUCUGCCUGCAAGGGCCUCCCCUUCAGAGUAGAACUUUUUCUACUGCAGCAAAUAGGAAAAAUGGGGUUUUUUUUUUUUUUUUUGCUUUUAUUUAACCCCCUGUUUUUUUUUAUUUCCCGUGGAUUGUUUUUGUUUUUUUUAGGGGGGGGUUUAACCAUUGAAAUUCUGCUUCUUCAUUUUCUCCCCUGAGCUGCAAGGGAUUUUUAGAGAAAUCGAUUCGGUGCUUCUCUCCCAAUGGCUUAUUCGCGUUUAUACGGUUUUUUGAAUGUGACGCAUUUGUCCGCCAUUUUUUUUUUCCCAACAGUCGCGCGCGAAUGGGGUCGAUCGUUUUUAUUUCCUUUUAAAAAAGCCGGUCUCUACAAUUUAAUAUCGGGGUGGGGGAUAGUUUUUUUUUGUUUUAUUUUUAACCCCCCCCCCCUUCGCUAUGUAUUUUUGGAAUGGCAGGGAAAUGCGUGUGCGCUGCCUGGGAUAGGUGCCAGCGUGAAAACAAAAGACAUAAAAUAGGCGGCAAACAUGGAAAAUGGCAGCGCGCACUCACGCACGCAAAAAAAAAAAAAAAAACGCAACCGACGAACGACCGCACUGCGUUCCCGGGGUCCGAGCUGUCAAGGUGUCAAGAAAUUGUUUCCCAAUUCCGGGGGGGCCGCAAGGUGAAGGUUCUCCAGUUCCUCCGUCUCUAGGUGCCCAAGGCUUUUGCCCACCUCCUGCAGGGGUCAGAGUGGCUCCUGGGACCCCUGUUGCGCGGCUACACGGACGGAAGGAGUGCAAUUACAGGGCGUAUGUGGAUGUAUAUGACGUUUCCCAGCAUUCCCCUGGCACCACAGAACCCUCGGCACAAUUACUUGGCAAUGUGCGGGAUUGGUGGUCUUUUCUUUUCAUUGGCUGCCUGUGGAGUUUGCACACGCCCCCACUACUGACAUCACAAUGGGAAUUCCCAGUAAACACCGCGGUUACGGAUCGUUGGAACCUGCCCAUUAACAGCUCCAAAGGCACCAACCUCUGAGAUUGAAAUGACUUGUCCUUAUAUGCAUUUGGGAACUAUCCCUUUAAGGGGCGUGGUGAUGCACCCCCAACCCCCACCCGUAAGGAUUUCUGGGUUUUAACUUUGAAGAUUAUGGUACCUCCACUUUCAGAGCCAUGAGAGGAUUUGUGCUAAGGAUCUGUCCUGAACUUCAUUCUCCUCAUCUGGUCCUGUAGUGAACCCCGAAACCCCAGUCUCCUCCGCACAGGAACUACUCCAGCCUUGAGAUUAACCCUUCAGAUCCUACAGCCGCGGGGAUAGAAUGAUGAAACAGAAUCCAGAGAGUCCCCUUGUACGACUCCCUGACGCUGGUGAGAAGAAAAGGAAAUCUGCCCCCAGCUGGGCACGUGGGGUACAGCACUGCAGUAUAUGUGGGUGCUUUAUACAUUUAUAAUAAUAACUGUGUCCUGGUCCCCUGAACCCUCUGUUUGGGUAAAGAGGUAACUAUUUAAAGGGCAAGUAAACCCCACUCUUUCCAGCUAAUUACGAUCGCUUGCUCUUUGGCAGUGAGCUGGUUAAAGGGGAGGGCCCAUAACAUCCUAUUAAUGACGGUUCUUCUAUCCCCAUAGGUUGUCGGCUGAGUCUCUGUCCCACCCUCGGCCAUUGCACCCAGUGAGACCCACAGGGAGGUUACGAGCCAAUCACGCUUUCCCUUUUGCACAACCUGCUUCCUGUUUGGCCCCCCAGCUGAUCCCUUCAUGACUUGUUUUUCCUUUUCCAGGUGUGUUGCAUUGUGGGUAUUUAACACCCCCCGUGGGACAAGGCUUCCUGCCCCCCCAGAUUCCGACUGCCCUUUGGGGUGAGGUAGUAGGUUGUUUAGUUGUGGGUUGCACCCUGACGUUUGGAUAACUAUACAAUCUACUGUCUUUCCUGAAGUGGCUGUAAUGUCAUCGUGGGAGCGGCGCCGGACGACGGAUUAAAGGGCAACAAAACCUUCAAAUCAUAGGAGAGAUGCUUGUGACAUUGGGGAGGGAAUUUUCCUUUGCACAUCUGACUUCCUGCCACCAACCCUAGUGGGUGGAGUUAGGGAUCCUGAGGGCCCCCCGGGGGUUAAAUGGUAACAUUUACUCGCACAGCCGUACAGGGAUUUUCUUUUUAGGUUUAGUUACCCUUUAUAGGUCCCACUGCCCCCUAGUGGCCGCCGCAGCCUUGGCGGGAUGAGGUAGUAGGUUGUGUGGUUUCAGGGCAGUGAUUUUUGCCCCAAUCAGGAGAUAACUAUACAACCUACUGCCUUCCCCGGCAGGCACCAUGUCGUCGAGGCCCAAUCAGAGCUGGGGGGAGGGAAUUAGAACUUGAUCCAGAACCUGAAGGACCCACAGAUGAAUGGGGCGCCCAAUCACUUGCUCUCGUUUCCCCCAAUCGCUGUUCUACCUGAAUCAAUAAAGAUAUGGAAUUUACUAAGCAA